This 2059-nucleotide long non-coding RNA is filed under the name Cyanistes caeruleus (blue tit). RNAcentral's name for it is "lncRNA (ENSCCEG00000013859.1)". Lineage: Eukaryota; Metazoa; Chordata; Aves; Passeriformes; Paridae. The record is from RNAcentral.
UUUCGAAAAUCGUGUCCACAUUGUUCCAUCCCUCUGGGAAAUCGUUUGGGGAGGUGGGGUGUCAAGCAGCAUCUGCAGGUCGUGUGUUUUUAAAUUCUCCUUCCUGCAGAGGAAUUCCACGUGGCCAGGCCAGCCGGUUUCCAAAGCACUUCUCUAGGGUGAUUCACUGCCAGGAGCACGGCAGAUCCCUUCUGUCCCCUCCCCGAGCCACCUGCAGGGCACAGAGCACUCAAAGCCAGCACUGGUGGUCCCCAGAAGCACAGCACAUGGCUGGGAAUGAUCGCCUGCAGCCAGCCUGGGUUCCACCUGCACCCACAGGUGCUCCUGGACACCUGGAUCUGUGCUCUGACUUAAAAACGAGCGGCUGCAGCCGCUGCCCUUGCUCUGCCCCUGCCUCCUGCCUGCACCCUGCAAUUCCAGCAGCUGGGAGGGGAUCUGUGCACCCGGCGAGGCUCACGUUCGCACGGGCAGACAGCAGCCAAAGGGCAGGGGAAGGGCUGGAUGAGGAGCAGGAAGCCUGGGAAGGGCAGGGAGAGCAGCACGGGGAAACAGUGUGGGGCUGUUCCCUGCCUGCUCUUAUCACAGCUUCCCCAGAUAACUCCUGGAACCCAUGCAGAUCCCCCCAGUCCAUGGGGAUGGGAGCUGAACUCCGCCGGGGGCUGCUUUGAAGGGAGAAGGGCUGGAGAGAGCCAGUUAAGGCUGGCAUCGCCACCCUCCCAGGGCAGAGUCCCCGAGGCUUGUGGGGAGCCAGCCUGGCUCAAAACCCUGCCAGCAGCAGAAGGGUUUUCAGCAAGCUCCAAUCCUCUGGAAACUGGGAUGGGUGGUGAGGAAGGAAGGCAGCAGAGCGGUGAGACCCCCUCAGCAGCCGUGCUCAGCCCUGCUCAGCCUCGCUGCACCGCGGGACUCCCGGGAUUCGGAUCAUUCUCUCCUCAAUGGCCUGGCUGUGUUUCUCCAAGGGGAUUACAUUCCGCCUGCCGGCUCAGUGGGGUCCUCUCUCCUCCGUGGGAUUCUGAGCUCUUCCCCAAUUUGUUUUCCUCUGCAAAUCUCAGGGAUAUGUGAUUUAGGAGAGCGAUGUCUCACUCCUCCCAGCCAACACCGCUUGGGAAUAUCACUUUUUUUUGUUUCUGCCUUAAAAAAUUCCUCUACAUGUCUGCAAAACUCCUGAUUUUACUCUGAUUGUUUUUUCACUCCAUUGGGUGAAAACAUUUUGUGUGACACCAGUUCUAGUGCAAGUUCUGUGAACAGGGGGUGGUCCCUGGGGGCUCCCUGCUUCAUUCUGGCUGCUUUGCCUCACCCAGGGGAUGCUUCAAGACCCACCAUGGGAUGCUCCCAAGUCCCAAAACCUGCUGGAAAGAUUGUGGGAAAUCCCAUGGCCAAAGGUUUUAUGGCUCAUUUCAUGUCCUGUGUGAAGACAGAUGGGGCAUGGCAUCUCUGAUAUUUUCACAGGCAGUAUCAGGCACAGGUAACUCUGCUCCUGGAGCAGGUCUGGGUGUGCUCAGUCAGGACGUUCUCACCUCAGUGUCUGUGGAGAGCUGGAAUCUCUCAGUUCCCUGUGUCCAUGGCCUCUGGGGCCCUUUGGGAAGCCUUCUGGUGAUGCCUUCUGAGUCAGAGAAGAAAAAGUGAUGAGUAAAAUCGUUGUCCUAAAGCUGUGAGACCUUUAAGGACUCUAAGCUGUUUUCGCAAGUGCCCUGAGGGCUGUGAAAAAUUCCAAAUAUUGCUUUGAAACUGGAAAGUCCCUGCAAGUCCCUCACAGCUGCUGCUUCUGUUUACUCUCUGUGCCAGGAUUAUUAGCGGAGGUGUUGAGCAAGCAGAGCCAGCCCUGCUCCCUGGAGUUCUCCUGGCACUGCCUGCUCUUCCUGACUGUCCUUUGUCCUCAGCUUUGAGGGUGGGCAAUGCAUGGGCAAAGAUGUCUGUGUGGAGAUGGAGGUGUGGGCAAAGUUCCUGCAGUGCCUGGGGCUGUGACCAGGUGGGGUGACCAUCCCUGGGGCAGUGACCAUCCCUGUGCCAGUGACCAUGCCUGGGGCAGUCUGGAGGUGAGCAAUACCUGGCACUGCUGUUG